This 458-nucleotide ribosomal RNA is filed under the name uncultured bacterium. RNAcentral's name for it is "partial 16S ribosomal RNA". It matches the Rfam family "Bacterial small subunit ribosomal RNA", at positions 29 to 507 of the family's 1533-position model. The record is from RNAcentral.
AACGAACGCUGGCGGCAGGCCUAACACAUGCAAGUCGAGCGGACCUUUCGGGGUCAGCGGCGGACGGGUGAGUAACGCGUGGGAAUAUGCCCUUCUCUACGGAAUAGUCCUGGGAAACUGGGGGUAAUACCGUAUACGCCCUUUGGGGGAAAGAUUUAUCGGGGAAGGAUUAGCCCGCGUUGGAUUAGGUAGUUGGUGGGGUAACGGCUUACCAAGGCAACGAUACGUAGCCGACCUGAGAGGGUGAUCGGUCACACUGGAACUGAGACACGGUCCAGACUCCUACGGGAGGCAGCAGUAGGGAAUCUUCCGCAAUGGGCGAAAGCCUGACGGAGCAACGCCGCGUGAGUGAUGAAGGUCUUCGGAUCGUAAAACUCUGUUAUCAGGGAAGAACAAACGUGUAAGUAACUGUGCACGUCUUGACGGUACCUGAUCAGAAAGCCACGGCUAACUACGUG